This 301-nucleotide ribosomal RNA is filed under the name uncultured bacterium. RNAcentral describes it as "partial 16S ribosomal RNA". It matches the Rfam family "Bacterial small subunit ribosomal RNA", at positions 509 to 807 of the family's 1533-position model. The record is from RNAcentral.
CAGCCGCCGCGGGAAUACCGAGGGUGCGAGCGUUAAUCGGAUUUACUGGGCGUAAAGCGUGCGUAGGCGGCUUUUUAAGUCGGAUGUGAAAUCCCUGAGCUUAACUUAGGAAUUGCAUUCGAUACUGGGAAGCUAGAGUAUGGGAGAGGAUGGUAGAAUUCCAGGUGUAGCGGUGAAAUGCGUAGAGAUCUGGAGGAAUACCGAUGGCGAAGGCAGCCAUCUGGCCUAAUACUGACGCUGAGGUACGAAAGCAUGGGGAGCAAACAGGAUUAGAUACCCGAGUAGUCCCUGUCUCUUAUAC